CCUACGGGAGACAGCAGUGGGGAAUAUUGGGCAAUGGGCGCAAGCCUGACCCAGCAACGCCGCGUGAAGGAAGAAGGCCCUCGGGUUGUAAACUUCUUUUAACAGGGACGAAGAAAGUGACGGUACCUGUUGAAUAAGCCACGGCUAACUACGUGCCAGCAGCCGCGGCAAUACGGAGGUGGCAAGCGUUAUCCGGAUUUACUGGGUGUAAAGGGCGUGUAGGCGGGAGAGCAAGUCAGACGUGAAAUUCCAGGGGUCAACCCUGGAACUGCGUUUGAAACUGGUCUUCUUGAGUGAUGGAGAGGCAGGCGGAAUGCGGGGUGUAGCGGUGAAAUGCGUAGAUAUACGGAGGAACACCAGUGGCGAAGGCGGCAUGCUGGACAUUAACUGACGCUGAGGCGCGAAAGCGUGGGGAGCAAACAGGAUUAGAUACCCGAGUAGUC
Molecule: ribosomal RNA, 443 nt
Filed under: uncultured bacterium
Lineage: Bacteria
Description: partial 16S ribosomal RNA
Rfam family: Bacterial small subunit ribosomal RNA
Source: RNAcentral